RNAcentral lists this ribosomal RNA (206 nucleotides) under uncultured bacterium. RNAcentral describes it as "partial 16S ribosomal RNA". It matches the Rfam family "Bacterial small subunit ribosomal RNA", at positions 524 to 728 of the family's 1533-position model. The record is from RNAcentral.
UACGUAGGGACCGAGCGUUUGUCCGGAAUCAUUGGGCGUAAAGAGCGUGUAGGCGGCCUUUUAAGUCCUGCGUGAAAUCUUGCGGCUCAACCGCAAGCGGUCGUGGGAAACUGGGUGGCUAGAGUGCGGGAGAGGAGAGUGGAAUUCCUGGUGUAGUGGUGGAAUGCGCAGAUAUCAGGAAGAACACCCGUGGCGAAGGCGGCGUC